Molecule: ribosomal RNA, 253 nt
Filed under: uncultured bacterium
Lineage: Bacteria
Description: partial 16S ribosomal RNA
Rfam family: Bacterial small subunit ribosomal RNA
Source: RNAcentral
UACGUAGGGGGCAAGCGUUGUCCGGAAUUAUUGGGCGUAAAGAGCGCGUAGGCGGUCCGAUAAGUCGGCUGUGAAAGUCAGGGGCUCAACCCUUGAAAGCCGGCCGAUACUGUCGGACUAGAGUCCGGAAGAGGCAAGUGGAAUUCCCGGUGUAGCGGUGAAAUGCGCAGAUAUCGGGAGGAACACCAAUGGCGAAGGCAGCUUGCUGGGACGGUACUGACGCUGAGGCACGAAAGCUAGGGUAGCAAACGGG